Molecule: ribosomal RNA, 505 nt
Filed under: uncultured bacterium
Lineage: Bacteria
Description: partial 16S ribosomal RNA
Rfam family: Bacterial small subunit ribosomal RNA
Source: RNAcentral
GACGAACGCUGGCGGCGUGCCUAAUACAUGCAAGUAGAACGCACAGUUUAUACCGUAGCUUGCUACACCAUAGACUGUGAGUUGCGAACGGGUGAGUAACGCGUAGGUAACCUGCCUGGUAGCGGGGGAUAACUAUUGGAAACGAUAGCUAAUACCGCAUAAUAUUAAUUAUUGCAUGAUAAUUAAUUGAAAGGUGCAAUUGCACCACUACCAGAUGGACCUGCGUUGUAUUAGCUAGUAGGUGAGGUAACGGCUCACCUAGGCGACGAUACAUAGCCGACCUGAGAGGGUGAUCGGCCACACUGGGACUGAGACACGGCCCAGACUCCUACGGGAGGCAGCAGUAGGGAAUCUUCGGCAAUGGACGAAAGUCUGACCGAGCAACGCCGCGUGAGUGAAGAAGGUUUUCGGGUCGUAAAGCUCUGUUGUAAGAGAAGAACGGGUGUGAGAGUGGAAAGUUCACACUGUGACGGUAUCUUACCAGAAAGGGACGGCUAACUACGUG